AGCUGGUGGUGGAGCACCCUUUUAGCUGAUGAGAAGCCCUCAAUCACUGCCAGCUGCACGCUGCCCCUGAACUCUAUCUUGCAACUCCCACCUUCCUAGAAGAUGUUACACAGCCAUGCUUUAGUGAGCUAUCAAUUAAGGGAAUAUAGCUACCCUAAGGAAGGUUCUACACCCACCCCACUUCCUUAGUGAUACACUACACCCUUCUAUGAAGCUUGCAACUGGAAUGUUUCUUGAGUUGCAGCUCUUCCAUGUGCCCCAGGACAGCCUGCUGGAGAAGGGCAUCUUUGUCCCAGCACAGUGGAUUGAGGUUUUCCUGUUGUUUGUGGGCUGCUACAGAAAAAAUAAGGAGCUGGUUUGGUCUCCCUGUUUGCUUUCACCGGAAGCACAACCUGAAGUCACCAAUCAAAGGAGGUGCAGAGGCUUCAUAAGUUACUUCUCAGUGAAGGUUUGCAUGGCUCUGGCAGAAUGGCAUCAGAUCAUCUGAGAAAGACAGCAGCCAGGGAGAGCACAGAGAGAAAGCACUGGCAGCACAGUUUUGAGAAGAUGCUGACUGCAGCUUUUUGCUGGCUAAAAAGAGACUUGGAGAUCUCUCCUGCUGUUUCAUUCCUGGUGUGUGAAGGGAAACAGGGCUUUGUACAUAAUUUGAAAGCAAACAGGAUUGUGUCAAAGGUAUCAGCCUCUGCUGGUAAUUAUUUCUCCAGACUGGAAUGUCCCAUAGGCUUCAGAAUUUAGCCAGCUCCUCUGGGCAGACAGAUAAUAUCGAGACCUGUUCUUCUCUGAUGGAAGUAGUUAUUGCUCCCUGGAUGUUACAUUGCUACACACCAGUGGAGAAUCUGACAGAAAUAAAAUAGCAGCUUCUGUUGGAUUUGAAGUUGAG
Molecule: long non-coding RNA, 880 nt
Filed under: Coturnix japonica (Japanese quail)
Lineage: Eukaryota; Metazoa; Chordata; Aves; Galliformes; Phasianidae
Description: lncRNA (ENSCJPG00005005241.1)
Source: RNAcentral